UGGGGAAUAUUGCACAAUGGAGGGAACUCUGAUGCAGCGACGCCGCGUGAGUGAUGAAGGAAUUCGUUUCGUAAAACUCUGUUCUAUGGGAAGAAAAGGACUGUACCAUAGGAGAAAGCUCCGGCUAAAUACGUGCCAGCAGCCGCGGUAAUACGUAUGGAGCGAGCGUUGUCCGGAUUUAUUGGGCGUAAAGGGUGCGCAGGCGGCUUUACAAGUUGGAUGUGAAAAAUUGUGGCUCAACCACAAACGUGCAUCCAAAACUGCAAAGUUUGAGUUAAGGAGAGGUAAGUGGAAUUCCUGGUGUAGCGAUAGAAUGCGUAGAUAUCAGGAGGAAUACCGGUGGCGAAGGCGACUUACUGAACUAAAACUGACGCUCAGGCACGAAAGCGUGGGGAGCAAACAGG
Molecule: ribosomal RNA, 404 nt
Filed under: Fusobacteriota bacterium
Lineage: Bacteria; Fusobacteriati; Fusobacteriota
Description: Fusobacteria bacterium partial 16S ribosomal RNA
Rfam family: Bacterial small subunit ribosomal RNA
Source: RNAcentral